This 307-nucleotide long non-coding RNA is filed under the name Fukomys damarensis (Damara mole-rat). RNAcentral describes it as "lncRNA (ENSFDAG00000026927.1)". Lineage: Eukaryota; Metazoa; Chordata; Mammalia; Rodentia; Bathyergidae. The record is from RNAcentral.
GUUGGUCAGCUGAUUUUAGUCUCUGAGUUUAAUAACCUAUUCUUGGGGCCUGCUUGGAGCAAAACAGGUGGCUAAGAAGUGAUUGACAUGAGACUGCAUUUUGCAUGAACUCUCUAUAUGUAUUGCCCAAAAAGGUGGUGCCAGAGAACAUGUUAUUAGCCAGGAAGAAUGUAUUUUGAUUCAAGGAAAUAAAUGCUAAAAACUAAUACAAAGUAGAUUGGAGACUAACAACAUCAUUAAGGAGUUGUGUAAAUGGGAGACAAUCAUCCACGUAAGGUGACCUUAUUAAUUGAAUAAACUGAGAAUG